CAGAGAUCAUGCCCUCACGGGUAGACCUCCCACCCUGUGUUAUUUACUAUUGUUGCUUUGGCAGGCCGCCUUCGGGCUCCCGGCUCCGGCUGGGGUGCGCCUGCCAGAGGACCCCGAACUCUGUGUUUAGUGUCGUCUGAGUACUAUAUAAUAAGUUA
This 158-nucleotide unclassified non-coding RNA is filed under the name uncultured Ascomycota. RNAcentral describes it as "sequence contains ITS1". Lineage: Eukaryota; Fungi; Ascomycota. The record is from RNAcentral.